GUAGGCGGUCGUAUAAGCGAAUAGUGAAAUCUGGUGGCUCAACCAUCAACCCAUUGUUCGAACUGUACGACUCGAGAAUGGUAGAGGUAGCUGGAAUUUCUUGUGUAGGAGUGAAAUCCGUAGAUAUAAGAAGGAACACCAAUGGCGUAGGCAGGCUACUGGACCAUUUCUGACGCUGAGGCACGAAAGCGUGGGGAGCGAACCGGAUUAGAUACCCGGGUAGUCCACGCCGUAAACUAUGGAUACUAGCUGUAGGGGGUAUCGACCCCCUCUGUAGCGAAGCUAACGCGUUAAGUAUCCCGCCUGUGGAGUACGGCCGCAAGGCUAAAACAUAAAGGAAUUGGCGGGGACCCGCACAAGCGGUGGAGCGUGUUCUUUAAUUCGAUGCUAAACGAAGAACCUUACCAGGGCUUGACAUCCCGAGAAUUACUGCGAAAGCAGUGAGUGCCUUAGGGAACUCGGUGACAGGUGCUGCAUGGCCGUCGUCAGCUCGUGUCGUGAGAUGUUUGGUUAAGUCCAUCAACGAGCGCAACCCCUAUGAAUAGUUGAAUUUUUCUAUUCAGACUGCCCCGGCAACGGGGAGGAGGGGGGGGAUGAUGUCAGGUCAGUAUUGCCCUUACGUCCUGGGCUAGAAACGCGCUACAAUGGCCGGUACAACGCGAUGCCAACCCGCAAGGGGGAGCAAAUCGCAUCAAAGCCGGUCCCAGUUCAGAUUGCAGGCUGAAACUCGCCUGCAUGAAGUCGGAAUCGCUAGUAAUCGCAGAUCAGCACGCUGCGGUGAAUACGUUCCCGGGUCUUGUACACACCGCCCGUCAAACCAUGAAAGUGACCAACACCCGAAGUCCGAUUCGUCGGCCUAAGGUGGGGGGCAUGAUUGGGGUU
RNAcentral lists this ribosomal RNA (882 nucleotides) under uncultured Candidatus Saccharibacteria bacterium. RNAcentral describes it as "bacterial SSU rRNA". It matches the Rfam family "Bacterial small subunit ribosomal RNA", at positions 571 to 1482 of the family's 1533-position model. The record is from RNAcentral. Lineage: Bacteria; Candidatus Saccharimonadota.